UGUUGUCCUGGGGUAAGCAUGUAGGGCGGAACGUAGGUAAAUCCGCGUUCUAUUCAGCCUGAGAUGUGAUGCCGAGCCGAUUGUGGUGAAGUGGAUGAUCCUAUGCUGCCGAGAAAAGCCUCUAGUGAGUGUUGUGGCGGCCCGUACCCUAAACCGACUCAGGUGGUCAGGUAGAGAAUACCAAGGCGAUCGGGUGAACUGUGGUUAAGGAACUCGGCAAAUUGCCCCCGUAACUUCGGGAGAAGGGGGACCUCUGCUGGUGAUGGGCUUUACGUUCUGAGCUGGUGGGGGUCGCAGUGGCCAGGGGGAAGCGACUGUUUACUAAAAACACAGGUCCGUGCGAAGUCGUAAGACGAUGUAUACGGACUGACGCCUGCCCGGUGCCGGAACGUUAAGGGGACCGCUUAGCCAACGCGAGUUGGCGAAGGUGAGAACUUAAGCGCCGGUAAACGGCGGUGGUAACUAUAACCAUCCUAAGGUAGCGAAAUUCCUUGUCGGGUAAGUUCCGACCUGCACGAAUGGCGUAACGACUUCCCCGCUGUCUCAACCACAGACCCGGCGAAAUUGCACUACGAGUAAAGAUGCUCGUUUCGCGCAGCAGGACGGAAAGACCCCGGGACCUUCACUACAGCUUGACAUUGGCGUUUGGAACGUCUUGUGUAGGAUAGGUGGGAGACUGGGAAGCUGUCACGCUAGUGAUGGUGGAGUCAUUGGUGAAAUACCACUCUGGUCGUUUUGAACGUCUAACUCUGGUCCGUGAUCCGGAUCGGGGACAGUGUCUGGUGGGUAGUUUAACUGGGGCGGUUGCCUCCUAAAGAGUAACGGAGGCGCCCAAAGGUUCCCUCAGCCUGGUUGGCAAUCAGGUGUUGAGUGUAAGUGCACAAGGGAGCUUGACUGUGAGACUGACAGGUCGAGCAGGAGCGAAAGCUGGGACUAGUGAUCCGGCAUCGGCGUGUGGAAGCGGUGUCGCUCAACGGCUAAAAGGUACCCCGGGGAUAACAGGCUGAUCUUCCCCAAGAGUCCAUAUCGACGGGAUGGUUUGGCACCUCGAUGUCGGCUCGUCGCAUCCUGGGGCUGGAGUAGGUCCCAAGGGUUGGGCUGUUCGCCCAUUAAAGCGGUACGCGAGCUGGGUUUAGAACGUCGCGAGACAGUUCGGUCCCUAUCCGCUGCGCGCGCAGGAGACUUGAAGGGGGCUGUCCCUAGUACGAGAGGACCGGGACGGACGAACCUCUGGUGUGCCAGUUGUACCGCCAGGUGCACGGCUGGUUGGCUACGUUCGGAAGGGAUAACCGCUGAAAGCAUCUAAGCGGGAAGCUCGCCUUGAGAUGAGGUCUCCCACCCCGUGAGGGGGUAAGGCUCCCGGUAGAUCACCGGGUUGAUAGGCCGGAGGUGGAAGCACGGUAACGUGUGGAGCUGACCGGUACUAAUAGGCCGAGGACUUGACCAC
RNAcentral lists this ribosomal RNA (1447 nucleotides) under metagenome. RNAcentral describes it as "bacterial LSU rRNA". It matches the Rfam family "Bacterial large subunit ribosomal RNA", at positions 1500 to 2925 of the family's 2925-position model. The record is from RNAcentral.